AUUGAACGCUGGCGGCAGGCCUAACACAUGCAAGUCGAACGGUAACAGGAAGCAGCUUGCUGCUUCGCUGACGAGUGGCGGACGGGUGAGUAAUGUCUGGGAAGCUGCCUGAUGGAGGGGGAUAACUACUGGAAACGGUAGCUAAUACCGCAUAAUGUCGCAAGACCAAAGAGGGGGACCUUCGGGCCUCUUGCCAUCGGAUGUGCCCAGAUGGGAUUAGCUUGUUGGUGGGGUAACGGCUCACCAAGGCGACGAUCCCUAGCUGGUCUGAGAGGAUGACCAGCCACACUGGAACUGAGACACGGUCCAGACUCCUACGGGAGGCAGCAGUGGGGAAUAUUGCACAAUGGGCGCAAGCCUGAUGCAGCCAUGCCGCGUGUAUGAAGAAGGCCUUCGGGUUGUAAAGUACUUUCAGCGGGGAGGAAGGGAGUAAAGUUAAUACCUUUGCUCAUUGACGUUACCCGCAGAAGUAGCACCGGCUAACUCCGUG
RNAcentral lists this ribosomal RNA (490 nucleotides) under uncultured bacterium. RNAcentral describes it as "partial 16S ribosomal RNA". It matches the Rfam family "Bacterial small subunit ribosomal RNA", at positions 30 to 507 of the family's 1533-position model. The record is from RNAcentral.